This 351-nucleotide small RNA is filed under the name Pan troglodytes (chimpanzee). RNAcentral's name for it is "processed transcript". The record is from RNAcentral. Lineage: Eukaryota; Metazoa; Chordata; Mammalia; Primates; Hominidae.
AAGGUUGGGGCUGGGAAGAGAGUGCCCAGUGUGAGAGCUGGAGAAUCAGUGCUGUGUGUGGAUACAGGUGCAAGCUGGCCCAGGAGAAUGGCUGGGGGGUCAUGAUCAAGACUGGUGCCCCGUGCCGUUCUGAACGUCUGGCUAAAUACAACCAGCUCAUGAGAAUUGAGGAAGAGCUGGGGGAUGAAGCUCGCUUUGCCGGACAUAACUUCCGUAAUCCCAGUGUGCUGUGAUUCCUCUGCUUGCCUGGAGACGUGGAACCUCUGUCUCAUCCUCCUGGAACCUUGCUGUCCUGAUCUGUGAUAAUUCACCCCCUGAGAUCCCCUGAGCCCCAGGGUGCCCAGAACUUCC